This 460-nucleotide ribosomal RNA is filed under the name uncultured bacterium. RNAcentral describes it as "SSU rRNA". It matches the Rfam family "Bacterial small subunit ribosomal RNA", at positions 26 to 518 of the family's 1533-position model. The record is from RNAcentral.
AGAAUCAACGCUGGCGGCGUGCCUAACACAUGCAAGUCGCACGAGAAAGGGGAGCAAUCCCUGAGUACAGUGGCGCACGGGUGAGUAACACGUGAAUAAUCUACCUCCGAGUGGGGAAUAACUGAGAGAAAUCUUAGCUAAUACCGCAUAACACUUACGAGUCAAAGCAGCAAUGCGCUUGGAGAGGAGUUCGCGGCCGAUUAGUUAGUUGGCGGGGUAAUGGCCCACCAAGACGAUGAUCGGUAUCCGGCCUGAGAGGGCGCACGGACACACUGGAACUGAAACACGGUCCAGACUCCUACGGGAGGCAGCAGUGGGGAAUUUUGCGCAAUGGGGGAAACCCUGACGCAGCAACGCCGCGUGGAGGAUGAAGCCCCUUGGGGUGUAAACUCCUUUCGAUCGGGAAGAUAAUGACGGUACCGAUAUAAGAAGCCCCGGCUAACUUCGCGCCAGCAGCCGC